Molecule: ribosomal RNA, 301 nt
Filed under: uncultured bacterium
Lineage: Bacteria
Description: partial 16S ribosomal RNA
Rfam family: Bacterial small subunit ribosomal RNA
Source: RNAcentral
CAGUAGCCACGGUAAUACGAAGGGGGCUAGCGUUGUUCGGAAUUACUGGGCGUAAAGCGCACGUAGGCGGAUAUUUAAGUCAGGGGUGAAAUCCCGCAGCUCAACUGCGGAACUGCCUUUGAUACUGGGUAUCUUGAGUAUGGAAGAGGUUAGUGGAAUUGCGAGUGUAGAGGUGAAAUUCGUAGAUAUUCGCAGGAACACCAGUGGCGAAGGCGGCUAACUGGUCCAUAACUGACGCUGAGGUGCGAAAGCGUGGGGAGCAAACAGGAUUAGAUACCCCAGUAGUCCCUGUCUCUUAUAC